UGCAACAAAUAUAUCAAUUCAAUUGUCGAUGAAGAAUGCAGCAAAGUGUGUUAUGCAUUGCAAAAUGCAGAAUUUCGUGAAUCAAUGAAUGGUUGAAUGUUGUUUGUAUCUUCGGGAUAUGCUUGAAGUUGUGUUUGAUUCAGUGCUGUU
Molecule: ribosomal RNA, 150 nt
Filed under: Coolia monotis
Lineage: Eukaryota; Dinophyceae; Peridiniales; Ostreopsidaceae
Description: partial 5.8S ribosomal RNA
Rfam family: 5.8S ribosomal RNA (bases 18-148)
About the family: 5.8S ribosomal RNA (5.8S rRNA) is a component of the large subunit of the eukaryotic ribosome. It is transcribed by RNA polymerase I as part of the 45S precursor that also contains 18S and 28S rRNA.
Source: RNAcentral